CUCAGUAACGGCGAGUGAAGCGGCAAAAGCUCAAAUUUGAAAUCUAGCACCUUCGGUGUUCGAGUUGUAAUUUGAAGAUGGUAACCUUGGGUUUGGCUCUUGUCUAUGUUCCUUGGAACAGGACGUCAUAGAGGGUGAGAAUCCCGUCUGAUGAGAUGCCCAUUCCUAUGUAAGGUGCUAUCGAAGAGUCGAGUUGUUUGGGAAUGCAGCUCUAAGUGGGUGGUAAAUUCCAUCUAAAGCUAAAUAUUGGCGAGAGACCGAUAGCGAACAAGUACAGUGAUGGAAAGAUGAAAAGAACUUUGAAAAGAGAGUGAAAAAGUACGUGAAAUUGUUGAAAGGGAAGGGCAUUAGAUCAGACUUGGUGUUUUACGAUUAUCUUCUCUUCUUGAGUUGUGCACUCGUAUUUCACUGGGCCAGCAUCGAUUCGGAUGGCAAGAUAAUGGCAGUUGAAUGUGGCUUCACUUCGGUGGAGUGUUAUAGCUUCUGCUGAUAUUGCCUGUCUGGAUCGAGGGCUGCGUCU
RNAcentral lists this ribosomal RNA (520 nucleotides) under Hansenula anomala. RNAcentral's name for it is "eukaryotic LSU rRNA". It matches the Rfam family "Eukaryotic large subunit ribosomal RNA", at positions 79 to 602 of the family's 3401-position model. Lineage: Eukaryota; Fungi; Ascomycota; Saccharomycetes; Phaffomycetales; Wickerhamomycetaceae. The record is from RNAcentral.